Molecule: ribosomal RNA, 809 nt
Filed under: Bacillus altitudinis
Lineage: Bacteria; Bacillati; Bacillota; Bacilli; Caryophanales; Bacillaceae
Description: bacterial SSU rRNA
Rfam family: Bacterial small subunit ribosomal RNA
Source: RNAcentral
CUGACGGAGCACGCCGCGUGAGUGAUGAAGGUUUUCGGAUCGUAAAGCUCUGUUGUUAGGGAAGAACAAGUGCAAGAGUAACUGCUUGCACCUUGACGGUACCUAACCAGAAAGCCACGGCUAACUACGUGCCAGCAGCCGCGGUAAUACGUAGGUGGCAAGCGUUGUCCGGAAUUAUUGGGCGUAAAGGGCUCGCAGGCGGUUUCUUAAGUCUGAUGUGAAAGCCCCCGGCUCAACCGGGGAGGGUCAUUGGAAACUGGGAAACUUGAGUGCAGAAGAGGAGAGUGGAAUUCCACGUGUAGCGGUGAAAUGCGUAGAGAUGUGGAGGAACACCAGUGGCGAAGGCGACUCUCUGGUCUGUAACUGACGCUGAGGAGCGAAAGCGUGGGGAGCGAACAGGAUUAGAUACCCUGGUAGUCCACGCCGUAAACGAUGAGUGCUAAGUGUUAGGGGGUUUCCGCCCCUUAGUGCUGCAGCUAACGCAUUAAGCACUCCGCCUGGGGAGUACGGUCGCAAGACUGAAACUCAAAGGAAUUGACGGGGGCCCGCACAAGCGGUGGAGCAUGUGGUUUAAUUCGAAGCAACGCGAAGAACCUUACCAGGUCUUGACAUCCUCUGACAACCCUAGAGAUAGGGCUUUCCCUUCGGGGACAGAGUGACAGGUGGUGCAUGGUUGUCGUCAGCUCGUGUCGUGAGAUGUUGGGUUAAGUCCCGCAACGAGCGCAACCCUUGAUCUUAGUUGCCAGCAUUCAGUUGGGCACUCUAAGGUGACUGCCGGUGACAAACCGGAGGAAGGUGGGGAUGACGUC